This is a non-coding RNA of Schistosoma mattheei, 45 nucleotides long. The record is from Rfam. NCBI's taxonomy places the organism in Eukaryota, Metazoa, Platyhelminthes, Trematoda, Strigeidida, Schistosomatidae.
AUCCAGUUGACGAGUCUCAAACAGUAGGAAACGUGCGUCCUAGAU